AGCAGCCGCGGUAAUUCCAGCUCCAAUAGCGUAUAUUAAAGUUGUUGCAGUUAAAAAGCUCGUAGUUGAAUUUCGGGGUUCAUCCGUUGGUCGGGCUUUUUUGGUCUGUACUGGCGUGAUGGAUUCCUACCUUCUGAAUAACCAGCGUGUCAUUAAUUUGGUGCGCUGGGGAAGCAGGACUGUUACCUUGAAAAAAUUAGAGUGCUUAAAGCAGGCUAUCGCCUGAAUACAUUAGCAUGGAAUAAUGAAAUAGGACGGCAUGGUUCUAUUUUGUUGGUUUCUAGGAUCACCGUAAUGAUUAAUAGGGAUAGUUGGGGGCAUUAGUAUUCAAUUGUCAGAGGUGAAAUUCUUGGAUUUAUUGAAGACUAACUUCUGCGAAAGCAUUUGCCAAGGAUGUUUUCAUUAAUCAAGAACGAAAGUUAGGGGAUCGAAGACGAUCAGAUACCGUCGUAGUCUUAACCAUAAACUAUGCCGACUAGGGAUCGGACGAUGUUAAUUUUUUAAUGACUCG
RNAcentral lists this ribosomal RNA (511 nucleotides) under uncultured Acaulospora. RNAcentral describes it as "SSU rRNA". It matches the Rfam family "Eukaryotic small subunit ribosomal RNA", at positions 569 to 1078 of the family's 1831-position model. Lineage: Eukaryota; Fungi; Glomeromycota; Glomeromycetes; Diversisporales; Acaulosporaceae. The record is from RNAcentral.